AGUUGUAGGUGAAGCAGUAGUUGUAGGUUGCACCGUUGUCGGAGCAGCAGUAGUUGUAGGUGCUGCUGUUGUUGUUCCAAUAGUAGUAGGUGCGGCUGUCGUAUGUGCAGUUGUCGUAGGUGAAGCGGUAGUUGUAGGUUGCACUGUUGUCGGAGCAGCAGUAGUUGUAGGUGCUGCUGUUGUUGUUGCAAUAGUAGUAGGUGCGGCUGUCGUAUGUGCAGUUGUCGUCGGAGCAGCAGUAGUUGUAGGUGCUGCUGUUGUUGUUGCAAUAGUAGUAGGUGCGGCUGUCGUAUGUGCAGUUGUCGUAGGUGAAGCGGUAGUUGUAGGUUGCACUGUUGUCGGAGCAGCAGUAGUUGUAGGUGCAGCAGUAGUUGUAGGUGCAGCAGUAGUUGUAGGUUGCACCGUUGUCGGAGCAGCAGUAGUUGUAGGUGCUGCUGUUGUUGUUGCAAUAGUAGUAGGUGCGGCUGUCGUAUGUGCAGUUGUCGUAGGUGAAGCGGUAGUGGUAGGUUGCACUGUUGUUGGAGCAGCAGUAGUUGUAGGUGCAGCAGUAGUUGUAGGUGCAGCAGUAGUUGUAGGUGCUGCUGUCGU
Molecule: long non-coding RNA, 588 nt
Organism: Trematomus bernacchii (emerald rockcod)
Lineage: Eukaryota; Metazoa; Chordata; Actinopteri; Perciformes; Nototheniidae
Exons: 3
Source: RefSeq, a predicted model, not a curated record